This 936-nucleotide ribosomal RNA is filed under the name Triticum aestivum (bread wheat). RNAcentral describes it as "partial small subunit ribosomal RNA". Lineage: Eukaryota; Viridiplantae; Streptophyta; Magnoliopsida; Poales; Poaceae. The record is from RNAcentral.
AUGGUUGCGUGCAAGAACGAACGGAGCAGCUGCAUCACCCACGGCUACGUAUGGGAUGAUACCGUGGAGUUGCUCGUGGAGAACGACCUUGACGCAGUGUCUGCUAUGGCGGCGCUUGCCGCGGCUCGCCCUUCUUCCGCAGAUGGUGUCUCCCACCAUGACGCACUCCAGGCCUGUGCCCAUCAUGCCCGCCUAUGGCUAACCCGUGCUGAUGCGCCGAUCCACCCUGGCUCCUCUGUUACAUAUGCUGCGGUGAGGUCCAAGUUAGACAGGAUCAUGGCAUCAGACUACUACACAGCACCUGCAGUUGCUGGGAACCAUGGAGCUGAAGGUCUGCAGGCACAGAUGAGCAUGACCGACUCACCAGAGGCACCAUCACUCAAGGAGACCCUAGCUGCUGAAAAUCACAAGGAGGACGAGGAAGAUUCCUCGCAUGCCACAGAAAUCGACAAUGAUCAUCAGUCUAAUGCAGCCGAUGUGCAAAAUGUGGAUGGUAAAACCCUGGUGAACCCUCGUGUGGAAUAUCGCGUGGCUGAGGCAGAGCAGGAGAAAUUUGAUGUGAAAGAACAAGAUCAGAUGUAUGCCGAGCCAAAAAAGCAACAGUUUCAACACCCUCGACAAUCUUGUCAGAACCAGCGAGGUGGUGAUAGUGGCUGGAGGGGGGCCUACCCUAAUGGCCGCAGCGGGCAUGGAGGCAGCCGUGGCAUGGGCAGCAGAUACGAGAAUGGGCGUGGAGGUGGUGGUGGUGGCGGCCGUGGCAUGGGUAGUGGAUACGAGAAUGGGCGUGGAGGUGGUGGUGGUGGCUGUGGCAUGGGCAGCGGAUACGAAAAUGGGUGGUGGUGGCAGCAGCGGGUACCAGAACAACCGGGGUGGUGGUGGCGGUGGUGGGUACCAGAACAGCCGGGGUGGUGGUGGCACCGGUGGGUACCAGAAUAG